CGGACGGGUGAGUAACGCGUGGGUAACCUGCCUCAUACAGGGGGAUAACAGUUAGAAAUGGCUGCUAAUACCGCAUAAGCGCACAGUACCGCAUGGUACGGUGUGAAAAACUCCGGUGGUAUGAGAUGGACCCGCGUUGGAUUAGCUAGUUGGCAGGGUAACGGCCUACCAAGGCGACGAUCCAUAGCCGGCCUGAGAGGGUGGACGGCCACAUUGGGACUGAGACACGGCCCAG
Molecule: ribosomal RNA, 235 nt
Filed under: uncultured bacterium
Lineage: Bacteria
Description: partial 16S ribosomal RNA
Rfam family: Bacterial small subunit ribosomal RNA
Source: RNAcentral